Molecule: ribosomal RNA, 465 nt
Filed under: uncultured bacterium
Lineage: Bacteria
Description: partial 16S ribosomal RNA
Rfam family: Bacterial small subunit ribosomal RNA
Source: RNAcentral
GACGAACGCUGGCGGCGUGCUUAACACAUGCAAGUCGAACGGAAAGGCCCCUUUGGGGGUACUCGAGUGGCGAACGGGUGAGUAACACGUGAGUAACCUGCCCUUGACUUCGGGAUAACUUCAGGAAACUGGGGCUAAUACCGGAUAGGAAUCCUUGCUGCAUGGUGGGGGUUGGAAAGCUUCGGCGGUUUUGGAUGGACUCGCGGCUUAUCAGCUUGUUGGUGGGGUAGUGGCUUACCAAGGCUUUGACGGGUAGCCGGCCUGGGAGGGCGACCGGCCACAUUGGGACUGAGAUACGGCCCAGACUCCUACGGGAGGCAGCAGUGGGGAAGAUUGCACAAUGGGCGGAAGCCUGAUGCAGCAACGCCGCGUGCGGGAUGACGGCCUUCGGGUUGUAAACCGCUUUCAGCAGGGGCGAAGCUUGUGGUGACGGUACCUGCAGAAGAAGCACCGGCUAACUACGUG